This 249-nucleotide ribosomal RNA is filed under the name uncultured bacterium. RNAcentral's name for it is "partial 16S ribosomal RNA". It matches the Rfam family "Bacterial small subunit ribosomal RNA", at positions 523 to 769 of the family's 1533-position model. The record is from RNAcentral.
GUACGUAGGGGGCAAGCGUUAUCCGGAGUUUACUGGGUGUAAAGGGAGCGUAGACGGUUCUGCAAGUCUGGAGUGGAAAGCCCGGGGCUCAACCCCGGGACUGCUUUGGAAACUGUGGAACUGGAGUGCAGGAGAGGUAAGUGGAAUUCCUAGUGUAGCGGUGAAAUGCGUAGAUAUUAGGAGGAACACCAGUGGCGAAGGCGGCUUACUGGACUGUAACUGACGUUGAGGCUCGAAAGCGUGGGGAGC